This is a long non-coding RNA of Solanum dulcamara, 1644 nucleotides long. RefSeq lists it as uncharacterized. The record is from RefSeq and is a predicted model, not a curated record. The transcript has 4 exons. NCBI's taxonomy places the organism in Eukaryota, Viridiplantae, Streptophyta, Magnoliopsida, Solanales, Solanaceae.
UCAGCCAGAUGUACCUUCUUUCCUCAAACCAGUUGGUGCGAUACGAGUCAAAGAAAAGUUGAAUUCUCAAAAAGAGCACAUAACAUACAAUCUUGACCAAGGGCGUUUAUCGCUAGAGAGGAUUCGGGGAAGGGUCCGACCACAAGGGUCUAGUACGCAGCCUUAGCUUACAUUUCUGUCAGAGGUUGUUUCCAAAACUUCAACCCGUGACCUCAUGAUCACAUAACAACAACUUUACCAGUUGCUCCAAGGCUCCCUUCCUGUGCAUCAGUGAAAUUCCAACUUAAUUGGAGCCCGAUCAUUUCGCUCGUAUGGCCCUGUCCACAUUUAAUCCCCACCCUGCUCGGUGUUUAGCACUAUUGCAAAUGUAAAGUCAUUGCCAAAACCGGGUGUAACUACAAAACCUCAACUGAUUUUGGGAUGGAAGUAGCGGUCAUUUUUUUGGUUUCUCUUUCAACGAGAGCUGAAAUUGUGAAUACAAUGGAGACAUCUAUAUAUGUGCUGUUUAGAUAGCUUGAAACCGAAAAUUGAAUUGAAGCCAGAAGGUGUUCUGGCUUGUUGUCAAUAUUAACACUUCGAGAGGAACAUACGUUUAUCUUCCAGGGAAGUUUUUUCUUGCUGACCUUGAAGUUUAGAAGUAGGUUUUCUGUAAUGACUUCCAAAUCAGGAGAUUCAACAACAAUCAAAAGAAAAUGAAAUGCUUUGAUAAAUUAUACAAUUCGUUACUGAAUCUCGUAUUCUGUUUUUUUUUUCCUUUUCACAAUCAUGUCAAGUGUUUUUGCAUGUAUCUCAUGGUCGCUUAAAUUGCAACUUGGGACAAGCUAAUUUAGCUUGUGUAUGUAUUGGCUAGAUUUUUCAGUGUGUUAUAUUUCAUCAUGGUCUGUAUUAUUUUCAGCUAAAAAAUAAAGAAAAUGAAACCUUUAUUUGGUGUUUAAGUUCAUUAACAAAUUGAACAUUAUAUAGUGACAAUGACACAAAAUAAGCACAAAUUAUUGUGCCACAUACUACUUACUAGAACCUUGCUUAUAGCUGAGAGGAAAAGUUGGGUCAACAGAAAAGGAAGAAACGUCAAUGAAAAAGAGAAAAAUACGAUAAAAUAAAGUAUGUAGCUGUAGGCUGUAGAAUAAAUACAGAAUGUCGAAAGAUUUUGAUCUUCUUACCAUAUAUAGAUAUAUAUAUUUUCCCCCAUCCAACCAAACAACCCCCCACCCCCCAAUCAAAGUGCCGUUUCCUUUUGUCCCUCCAUCUCCUUUCAUUAAUCCAAAAUUCCCAUAAACAAAACCUUCAUCUUGAGAGAGAGAGACACAGAGGGAUGGAUCCACCACAGGUAGAGGCCAUGGACAUCUCCAGCAAAAACUAUCCCCCAAUUGAAGAUGAGCAAGACAAAAUAGUAGACCAGUGUUGUUCUUGCUUUUAUGACUGCACAGAUAGCUUGUUGGAGUAUUUGUGCUGCUAUGAUUUCUGGUGUUCUUAGGGAUACACAUUACAUAAGUGCUCUGUAGUCGGGAACUUGUUAGAUGAACUAAUUAUGUUCUUUCACUUUUGGUUAGCAUUGCAUUAGUCCAUUUAGAUCAAAGUUAUUUAUCCUUCUUAUAUUGUAAUUAAAGAUCUAAUGAUAAUAUGAGAUAGUCCAUGUCUUCUUUA